GAUGAACGCUGGCGGCGUGCUUAACACAUGCAAGUCGAACGGAAAGGCCCAAGCUUGCUUGGGUACUCGAGUGGCGAACGGGUGAGUAACACGUGGGUGAUCUGCCCUGCACUUCGGGAUAAGCCUGGGAAACUGGGUCUAAUACCGGAUAGGACCACAUUUUGGAUGGUGUGGUGGAAAGUUUUUCGGUGUGGGAUGAGCUCGCGGCCUAUCAGCUUUUUGGUGGGGUAAUGGCCUACCAAGGCGUCGACGGGUAGCCGGCCUGAGAGGGUGUACGGCCACAUUGGGACUGAGAGACGGCCCAGACUCCUACGGGAGGCAGCAGUGGGGAAUAUUGCACAAUGGGCGCAAGCCUGAGGCAGCGAGGCCGCGGGGGGGAUGACGGCCUUCGGGUUGUAAACUCCUGUCGCUAGGGACGAAGCGUUUUUGUGACGGUACCUGGAGAAGAAGCACCGGCUAACUACGUG
RNAcentral lists this ribosomal RNA (467 nucleotides) under uncultured bacterium. Its description in RNAcentral is "partial 16S ribosomal RNA". It matches the Rfam family "Bacterial small subunit ribosomal RNA", at positions 28 to 507 of the family's 1533-position model. The record is from RNAcentral.